Molecule: ribosomal RNA, 305 nt
Filed under: uncultured bacterium
Lineage: Bacteria
Description: bacterial SSU rRNA
Rfam family: Bacterial small subunit ribosomal RNA
Source: RNAcentral
UUGCGCCUACGGGGGGCAGCAGUGAGGAAUAUUGGUCAAUGGCCGAGAGGCUGAACCAGCCAAGUCGCGUGAGGGAUGACGGCCCUACGGGUUGUAAACCUCUUUUGUCGGGGAGCAAAGAGAGUCACGUGUGGCUCAUUGAGAGUACCCGAAGAAAAAGCAUCGGCUAACUCCGUGCCAGCAGCCGCGGGAAUACGGAGGAUGCGAGCGUUAUCCGGAUUUAUUGGGUUUAAAGGGUGCGCAGGCGGAGGUGCAAGUCAGUGGUCAAAUUGCGGGGCUCAACCCCGUACUGCCGUUGAGACUGG